RNAcentral lists this ribosomal RNA (468 nucleotides) under uncultured bacterium. Its description in RNAcentral is "partial 16S ribosomal RNA". It matches the Rfam family "Bacterial small subunit ribosomal RNA", at positions 28 to 507 of the family's 1533-position model. The record is from RNAcentral.
GACGAACGCUGGCGGCGUGCUUAACACAUGCAAGUCGAACGGAAAGGCCCUGCUUUUGUGGGGUGCUCGAGUGGCGAACGGGUGAGUAACACGUGAGUAACCUGCCCUUGACUUUGGGAUAACUUCAGGAAACUGGGGCUAAUACCGGAUAGGAGCUCCUGCUGCAUGGUGGGGGUUGGAAAGUUUCGGCGGUUGGGGAUGGACUCGCGGCUUAUCAGCUUGUUGGUGGGGUAGUGGCUUACCAAGGCUUUGACGGGUAGCCGGCCUGAGAGGGUGACCGGCCACAUUGGGACUGAGAUACGGCCCAGACUCCUACGGGAGGCAGAGGUGGGGAAUAUUGCACAAUGGGCGGAAGCCUGAUGCAGCAACGCCGCGUGCGGGAUGACGGCCUUCGGGUUGUAAACCGCUUCCGCCUGUGACGAAGCGUGAGUGACGGUAAUGGGUAAAGAAGCACCGGCUAACUACGUG